UAUUGGAGUACAUAGGCCAGUUUAGAUUAAUUCUAUUUGUUCGGUUUAGUAUUGGUUAGAUCUUAUACCACACUUGUAUAUAACAGAGUAAUUGUACAGUGUAAUCAUUAGAACUUUCUCAUUCAUCUUAAUGAUUACACUGUACAAUUACUCUGUUAUAUACAAGUGUGGUAUAAGAUCUAACCAAUACUAAACCGAACAAAUAGAAUUAAUCUAAACCGGCCUAUGUACUCCAAUA
Molecule: non-coding RNA, 238 nt
Organism: Arabidopsis thaliana (thale cress)
Lineage: Eukaryota; Viridiplantae; Streptophyta; Magnoliopsida; Brassicales; Brassicaceae
Source: RefSeq